This 1200-nucleotide ribosomal RNA is filed under the name metagenome. Its description in RNAcentral is "bacterial LSU rRNA". It matches the Rfam family "Bacterial large subunit ribosomal RNA", at positions 1743 to 2925 of the family's 2925-position model. The record is from RNAcentral.
CUGGGGGACCUCUGCUGGUGAUGGGCUUUACGUUCUGAGCUGGUGGGGGUCGCAGUGGCCAGGGGGAAGCGACUGUUUACUGAAAACACAGGUCCGUGCGAAGUCGUAAGACGAUGUAUACGGACUGACGCCUGCCCGGUGCCGGAACGUUAAGGGGACCGCUUAGCCAGCUUCGGUUGGCGAAGGUGAGAACUUAAGCGCCGGUAAACGGCGGUGGUAACUAUAACCAUCCUAAGGUAGCGAAAUUCCUUGUCGGGUAAGUUCCGACCUGCACGAAUGGCGUAACGACUUCCCCGCUGUCUCAACCACAGACCCGGCGAAAUUGCACUACGAGUAAAGAUGCUCGUUUCGCGCAGCAGGUCGGAAAGACCCCGGGACCUUCACUACAGCUUGACAUUGGCGUUUGGAACGUCUUGUGUAGGAUAGGUGGGAGACUAGGAAGCUGUCACGCUAGUGAUGGUGGAGUCAUUGGUGAAAUACCACUCUGGUCGUUUUGAACGUCUAACUCUGGUCCGUGAUCCGGAUCGGGGACAGUGUCUGGUGGGUAGUUUAACUGGGGCGGUUGCCUCCUAAAGAGUAACGGAGGCGCCCAAAGGUUCCCUCAGCCUGGUUGGCAAUCAGGUGUUGAGUAUAAGUGCACAAGGGAGCUUGACUGUGAGACUGACAGGUCGAGCUGGAGCGAAAGCUGGGACUAGUGAUCCGGCAUCGGCGUGUGGAAGCGGUGUCGCUCAACGGCUAAAAGGUACCCCGGGGAUAACAGGCUGAUCUUCCCCAAGAGUCCAUAUCGACGGGAUGGUUUGGCACCUCGAUGUCGGCUCGUCGCAUCCUGGGGCUGGAGUAAGUCCCAAGGGUUGGGCUGUUCGCCCAUUAAAGCGGUACGCGAGCUGGGUUUAGAACGUCGCGAGACAGUUCGGUCCCUAUCCGCUGCGCGCGCAGGAGACUUGAAGGGGGCUGUCCCUAGUACGAGAGGACCGGGACGGACGAACCUCUGGUGUGCCAGUUGUACCGCCAGGUGCACGGCUGGUUGGCUACGUUCGGAAGGGAUAACCGCUGAAAGCAUCUAAGCGGGAAGCUCGCCUUGAGAUGAGGUCUCCCACCCCGUGAGGGGGUAAGGCUCCCGGUAGAUCACCGGGUUGGUAGGCCGGAGGUGGAAGCACGGUAACGUGUGGAGCUGACCGGUACUAAUAGGCCGAGGACUUG